This 440-nucleotide ribosomal RNA is filed under the name uncultured bacterium. Its description in RNAcentral is "partial 16S ribosomal RNA". It matches the Rfam family "Bacterial small subunit ribosomal RNA", at positions 338 to 795 of the family's 1533-position model. The record is from RNAcentral.
CCUACGGGAGGCAGCAGUGGGGAAUAUUGCACAAUGGGGGAAACCCUGAUGCAGCAACGCCGCGUGGGUGAAGGAGCGUUUCGGCGCGUAAAGCCCUGUCAGCGGGGAAGAAGAAAGACGGUACUCGACCAAGAAGCCCCGGCAAACUACGUGCCAGCAGCCGCGGUAAUACGUAGGGGGCGAGCGUUAUCCGGAUUUAUUGGGUUUAAAGGGGGCGCAGGCGGAAUGUAAAGUCAGCGGUAAAAUUUCGGGGCUCAACCCCGGCGUGCCGUUGAAACUGGCGUUCUUGAGUGAGCGAGAAGUAUGCGGAAUGCGUGGUGUAGCGGUGAAAUGCAUAGAUAUCACGCAGAACUCCGAUUGCGAAGGCAGCAUACCGGCGCCCGACUGACGCUGAGGCACGAAAGCGUGGGUAUCGAACAGGAUUAGAUACCCGUGUAGUC